GACCUGCGGAGGGAUCAUUACCG
Molecule: ribosomal RNA, 23 nt
Filed under: Chaetomella raphigera
Lineage: Eukaryota; Fungi; Ascomycota; Leotiomycetes; Chaetomellales; Chaetomellaceae
Description: partial 18S ribosomal RNA
Source: RNAcentral